Molecule: ribosomal RNA, 440 nt
Filed under: uncultured bacterium
Lineage: Bacteria
Description: partial 16S ribosomal RNA
Rfam family: Bacterial small subunit ribosomal RNA
Source: RNAcentral
CCUACGGGAGGCAGCAGUGGGGAAUAUUGCACAAUGGGGGAAACCCUGAUGCAGCGACGCCGCGUGAGCGAAGAAGUAAUUCGUUACGUAAAGCUCUAUCAGCAGGGAAGAAAAUGACGGUAACUGAGUAAGAAGCCCCGGCUAACUACGUGCCAGCAGCCGCGGUAAUACGUAGGGGGCAAGCGUUAUCCGGAUUUACUGGGUGUAAAGGGAGCGUAGACGGUGCGGCAAGUCUGGAGUGAAAUGCCGCGGCUUAACUGCGGAACUGCUUUAGAAACUGGCGAACUAGAGUGCGGGAGGGGUAAGCGGAAUUCCUAGUGUAGCGGUGGAAUGCGUAGAUAUUAGGAGGAACACCAGUGGCGAAGGCGGCUUACUGGACCGUAACUGACGUUGAGGCUCGAAAGCGUGGGGAGCAAACAGGAUUAGAUACCCGAGUAGUC